RNAcentral lists this long non-coding RNA (404 nucleotides) under Nicotiana benthamiana. RNAcentral's name for it is "long non-coding RNA (NBEN_LNC028934)". Lineage: Eukaryota; Viridiplantae; Streptophyta; Magnoliopsida; Solanales; Solanaceae. The record is from RNAcentral.
AUGUUUAAUAUCAUCAGUUAUAUUUUUCUCCCGUGCUUUCUCACACAUGUAAUAUGCAUACUUGGUUAUAUGAGUUUUUUUGUAGAUUUGAUCAGAAAAUUUGUAGGACUUGCUGGUGAUCUAGAGAUCAGAGUGGGCUUUGACUAUUGAUUAAAUUCUCUAGUCUCUCUCACUGUUUUACAUUUAUUUACCUAGAAAAAAAUCCGAGUCUCUUGCACUGUCUUAUUUUUGGGCCUUUUUAUUGUGUAGCUGGAAAAUAUAUAUAAAGUCAUGCAUGGUUUAAGAUCACGGAACAGAUUAGCCACGAGGGUGUCUCAUGGUUAAGUCAAUCACAGCUCUUGCUUCUUUGUCAUGAGAUGAUUCAUUUUUCCUCUUCUUUUUUGGGUAGAUGAAGAUGUUUUUUC